RNAcentral lists this ribosomal RNA (746 nucleotides) under uncultured bacterium. RNAcentral's name for it is "partial 16S ribosomal RNA". The record is from RNAcentral.
CGGCUACCUUGUUACGACUUUUGCCCAAGGGGUUCCAGUUCUCUUUAAGCUCUUUCUCAAGACCUUCGAGGUCCCACUGCUCUUCAACCGUGUCCGCCGGCACAUAGUGACGGAAAAGGCUGGUGAAGUAGCCAUCGCGAAGUUCCUUCACAGGACCGGAAACAUCCUUGUUCUCAAGGAUCUCGUUACGCAGAGCGUAGAUUUCCUUACGCUGAUCGUUUGCCUCGUCAUCGUAUUCGAGCAGCUGUUUACGAAUAUCGAAGUUGCGGGAUUCAACCUUACGCUGAGCGGUUUCAAUGGAGCGGGAAACAAUGCCUGCUUCUAUGGCUUCACCUUCAGGCAGACGCAGUUUGUUCAUCAAAGCCUGCAUCUUUUCGCCGGCGAAGAUUCUAAGCAGCGGAUCUUCCAUGGACAGAUAGAAGCGGGAAGAACCCGGGUCACCCUGACGGCCGGAACGUCCGCGCAGCUGGUUGUCGAUACGACGGGAUUCGUGACGCUCGGAACCAAUAAUUCUCAAGCCGCCGAGUUCCACAACGCGGUCGUGAUCAACCUGCCACUGGGCCUUGAUUUCUUCUUUCUUAGCCUUUUUCUGUUCGUCAGAAAGGGUUUCGUCGUUGUCGAUCUGCUCAAGUGCCUUGCUGAUACCGCCGCCCAAGACGAUGUCGGUACCGCGGCCGGCCAUGUUGGUGGCAAUCGUAACCGUGCCGGGACGACCGGCUUCCAUAACGAUCUGAGCCAGGAUCAAC